AGGAUAAACGCUGGCGGCGUGCCUAACACAUGCAAGUCGAACGUCCUACGCGCAAGUGUAGGGAGUGGCGGACGGGUGAGUAACACGUGGGCAAUCUACCUUUCGGUGAGGAAUACCGGCGAGAAAUCGCCGACAAUACCGCAUACGCUUCGCAAGAAGCAAAGUCGCAAGACGCCGGAGGAGGAGCCUGCGCCCGAUUAGCUAGUUGGUGAGGUAAGAGCUUACCAAGGCGACGAUCGGUAGCUGGUCUGAGAGGAUGAUCAGCCACACUGGGAUUGAGAACGGCCCAGACUCCUACGGGGGGCAGCAGUGAGGAAUUUUCGUCAAUGGGGGCAACCCUGAACGAGCAACGCCGCGUGCAGGAUGACGCUUUUCGGAGUGUAAACUGCUUUUCUCGGGGAAGAGCAAGGACGGUACCCGAGGAAUCAGCCCCGGCUAACUACGUGCCAGCAGCCGC
RNAcentral lists this ribosomal RNA (457 nucleotides) under uncultured bacterium. Its description in RNAcentral is "SSU rRNA". It matches the Rfam family "Bacterial small subunit ribosomal RNA", at positions 26 to 518 of the family's 1533-position model. The record is from RNAcentral.